Molecule: long non-coding RNA, 2372 nt
Organism: Panicum virgatum (switchgrass)
Lineage: Eukaryota; Viridiplantae; Streptophyta; Magnoliopsida; Poales; Poaceae
Exons: 3
Source: RefSeq, a predicted model, not a curated record
AAACAGCGCAAAACCUAAAGCGCGGUUUGGGGGAACUUUCCCCAACCAAAAAUCAACCCAGAACCGCAGAUAAAGCUCACAAGGCACGCAAAUUCUCAAACCCUGCAGCUGCAGUCCAACGAAUCGAAGCACCGGGAUCGAAGCGGAGCAAGCGCGCCGGAAUCUGUCGGCCGUGGUGGCCGUGUCCGCCCGGAUCCACCGCUCGGCUGAGAACCCCGGUAUUUCCUGCAUUAAUUUUACCCUAGAUCGAAGGGGUGUCUCGGAUACCUUGCGCUGUUAGCUGAAAUUGCUCCGAAGACGAAGGAAAUAAGGAAUCGCUGCCGCUGGAUACAGAUGAGGCCAAGCAGCAGCCAGCAAGCCUCUCCACCGCGGCCCUCUGCCUGGAAGGGACUGAUACACAUGCUAGUAUUUGUUGGGGCUUUAUGAAAAUCUUCUAUAUGCAUCAGAGGCAAGUAGCGAUGUGGUCGUCAACAGUUGCUCUGUUACAAGCAAUCUUCCUGCUAUCUUCGUGGCUUUACCGUAUCAGGCCCUACUGCUCUGCCAUUGAAGUACUCUUUAUGGCUUUAUAUGUUUCAGUCCAAGCAGAUCUCUUACAUGAUACUGAUUAGUCUGUACCUUCCUGAACCUGAACUAGCCUGUUGCAUGCUGAACCUGUUUGUCUGGGAAAUCACUUUAAAGCUACAUUUAAAAGUUAAAACCAACGACGUCUCUUAUAUAAGUUUUAACCUCUUUGACUGUUUUAAUUGAGAUUUUGCGGAAUUGAACAUACUACUGUUAUUUCUGGGUCCUGGGUUCGUAUGCUAACGGGACCUACUUCAAUUAUUCUCUGUUAGUCUGUUAUAGAUGUGUGCUCUGAUCCAUAUGUGCUUGUAAAGCUUGUGGUAGUCAUAUAUGAUACUGUCGCUUGGGAGGUGUUGGGAAACAGCUCUGGUUUCUCACUCUAUGUCAGGUCAGCACUGGCCACUGGUCCACACAUUCCUUUUCCCUUUUGCCUUUAUGUCUCUUUGCCUCUAACAUUAUGCCCCCUAGGCCCUAACCCUGCUGUCCUGCUUUUGGGCAAUAUAGUUGUCAUGAUCCCUAAUUGUGUGUUUGGUCAUUGACUCAUCAGGUCAUACUGAAGCUUUUUGGACCAAUAUGUGCAAGCAAAGGGAUUUGUGUUCAAUUCACAGGAGUACUGUUUGCCUAACCAAAUUCUGUAUUUGAAUUUUCCACUCAUCACAAAAGAUGUGAAUACUUUUUUCUCUUUGGUUUCAACUCUCAACAUUCGACCGAUUUAUCAAUUUUUCUCUAUUUGAUGCAAGUUUUAGCAUUAACAACUAUUGUAUUGAUGUUGUGGCCUGCUAUGUUUUUUUAACUUUAGAUCUGCAUUUUCUUGCCAUCACGUCCUUGCAUAUAGUGACUGGUGGGUGCAGUGUGGCUCUCCUCUCAUGAUGCCUGCAAUUCUAUAGACUUCACUUGAUAUGGGCUGUUGGCAACAAUAAUUCUCUGAGCAUCGGUUGGGCCACGACAUUCUGUUUCCAUAUCAAAUGUUCCUGACCAUAUCUAUUUCGUUUGACAUUUUCUUAUCAUUAGUGAUACAGCAUUUUACCAACUACUGGAACACAUUGAGGAUUUGAGAUAAGAUUUGGUGAAGCGCAUGGAUUUGUCUGUAAUAUACUAUAUAGUAGUAGGUAGUCUUCUUGUGGCUAGCAUGUUCUUUCUUGUGGUAAAGAAAAGGAUGUACAGUUAGCAGGGCUAUUAUUAUACAUGCACAAUUGUCAUUUGGCUGGUAGCUCACGCCUGCUACCUUGCCUUUUUUUUUUUGAGGACUUACCUUGCUUGAAGUUGGUUGGCACCAGUCCAGUAUACUCUCCAAUAUUAGUUCCUGCAAACGUGACCUGGCUGGAAAGCUGCUUGCCUGAUUCUCCAACAUUUUGAUGUUUCUCAUUUCUGUUUUCCGCCGGUGCUAGCCCUCUCUAUGGGGAGGCUUCUGGUUAAGCUUGCUUCAAUGAAGUUGCUACUUUGUUGGAAAAGAAGAUGCCAAAGGUGCGAUCUCUCACAAUGCUGUUGUAUUUUGAUUUGCUUUUGUUUCUGAUUUAACCGUUGUAAGAAUGGCAGGAACAGAUAGUCCUUUUGCUAACAAAGUCUAACAGGAGCCGCAAUGUUCUACUUUUACACUUGAAGUUCGAAGUGGUAGGAAGGCAGUGUGGUGCUCAUAAAGCAAAUCAAACCCCUUCUUUUACAAGAAGAGGACCGUAUAACUAUAUCCUUUUCCUUUUUUAGUUUGUAAGAUUCAUUUCGUUCUUCUUUGAGGCAAGUUUCUUUUCAAUGAGAAUUCAGAUUCUUGCAACUAUCCAUAACAAUUUAUUACCAUUCAUCCAAUCUUGAAGCUA